UGAGGAAUAUUGGUCAAUGGGCGAGAGCCUGAACCAGCCAAGUCGCGUGAAGGAAGACGGCCUUAUGGGUUGUAAACUUCUUUUGCAGGGGAAUAAAAAGGAGUACGUGUACUCUAUUGCAUGUACCCUGCGAAUAAGCAUCGGCUAACUCCGUGCCAGCAGCCGCGGUAAUACGGAGGAUGCGAGCGUUAUCCGGAUUUAUUGGGUUUAAAGGGUGCGCAGGCGGGCUUUUAAGUCAGCGGUGAAAUCUGGUCGCUUAACGAUCAAACUGCCGUUGAAACUGGGAGUCUUGAGUAUAGAUGAAGUAGGCGGAAUUCGUUGUGUAGCGGUGACAUGCUUAGAUAUAACGAGGAACUCCGAUUGCGUAGGCAGCUUACUAAACUAUAACUGACGCUCAAGC
Molecule: ribosomal RNA, 400 nt
Filed under: uncultured bacterium
Lineage: Bacteria
Description: bacterial SSU rRNA
Rfam family: Bacterial small subunit ribosomal RNA
Source: RNAcentral